CUGCGUCGCCCUCCUUGGGCGUUUCCUCCCUAGACUUGGGCCGCCUCGUGCGGCCCUUUUUUUUGCCUUUC
RNAcentral lists this small RNA (71 nucleotides) under Allobosea sp. Root381. RNAcentral describes it as "Bosea sp. Root381 Makes More Granules Regulator RNA (mmgR)". It matches the Rfam family "Makes More Granules Regulator RNA (mmgR)". From Rfam's summary of the family: SuhB later renamed mmgR (makes more granules regulator) was a putative non-coding RNA found multiple times in the Agrobacterium tumefaciens genome and related alpha-proteobacteria. Other non-coding RNAs uncovered in the same analysis include: speF, ybhL, metA, and serC. Lineage: Bacteria; Pseudomonadati; Pseudomonadota; Alphaproteobacteria; Hyphomicrobiales; Alloboseaceae. The record is from Rfam by way of RNAcentral.